CAAGAGCCAGACGGUUGUUACCGGUUUAAAAGGCAGCGCCACAGCGGGUCUGGACUUGGAGCCAGCCAGGCAGGUCUUCGUACAUUGGAAAGGUUGCUUGAACUCCAUUUACCUCAGCAGAAGAAGGAGAGAAGAGUCCCUCUAUCUUGGAUUUUUUUCUAUGGUGUUGCUAGGAGUAAGGAAAAUGUACAACCUGUGAUUCCUAUGUGGAAUCAAAUGAAACUUAAAAAAAGCUGGCCAGGUCCAUUUUUGCCAAAUGCCAAGCACUACGGAAUAAAACUGAACACUCAACUAUUGGAGCAGAAAUGGUGAAAGCAGAAUGCAAGCUAUAGUUCAUUCGGCCAAGCCAGCUGAAUCCAGCAGAGCUGGUCUCCUUAGCAGAAUAUGCCAUAGUCAUGGGCCCAGUGGCAAAGGCACUAACUAUUUUCCAAGCAGAGACGAGCGCACGAAUGGGAUAGUUGCUUCCUACACUAUACCAGCUGGAUUCAAAACUGUAAAGAUUGAAGAUGUCCUCCAAGUUCUGUAGGCCACUGGUAGAUGCACUUCAGCGUGUUAUUAAGAAGCAUUUUGCUGAAAUGUUCGAGGACCCGGAGUUGAUCACAGCUGCCAUCUUGCUGCCAAAAUUUAAGACUGCUUGGACCAAGCAUGAUUCUGUGAUUAGAAAAGCCGCACCAGCUGUGCGUGCAGGGAGCACCACCCUGCCCGGGACAUGCUCCCGUACCCGAGGGCUCCGCAGGACCACCCGUGCAGUGGAGGGGUACCAACAGCAGCACCUGGGGGCACUGCGAGCCCUGCACUGCACU
Pelodiscus sinensis (Chinese soft-shelled turtle) is the source of this 803-nucleotide long non-coding RNA. RefSeq lists it as uncharacterized. Lineage: Eukaryota; Metazoa; Chordata; Testudines; Trionychidae. The record is from RefSeq and is a predicted model, not a curated record.